GGCUCAGGAUGAACGCUAGCGGCAGGCUUAAUACAUGCAAGUCGUGGGGCAGCAUGAGUAGCAAUACUUGAUGGCGACCGGCAAACGGGUGAGGAACACGUACACAACCUUCCUUCAAGCGGGGAAUAGCCCAGAGAAAUUUGGAUUAAUACCCCAUAAUAUAUUUGAUAAGGCAUCUUAUUAAUAUUAAAGCUUCGGCACUUGAUGAUGGGUGUGCGGCUGAUUAGAUAAUUGGCGGGGUAACGGCCCACCAAGUCUACGAUCAGUAGCUGAUGUGAGAGCAUGAUCAGCCACACGGGCACUGAGACACGGGCCCGACUCCUACGGGAGGCAGCAGUAAGGAAUAUUGGACAAUGGACGAAAGUCUGGUCCAGCCAUGCCGCGUGAAGGAUUAAGGUCCUCUGGAUUGUAAACUUCUUUUAUAUGGGACGAAAAAAGGGCAUUCUUGUUCACUUGACGGUACCAUAUGAAUAAGCACCGGCUAACUCCGUG
Molecule: ribosomal RNA, 492 nt
Filed under: uncultured bacterium
Lineage: Bacteria
Description: bacterial SSU rRNA
Rfam family: Bacterial small subunit ribosomal RNA
Source: RNAcentral